Molecule: transfer RNA, 75 nt
Filed under: Klebsiella pneumoniae
Lineage: Bacteria; Pseudomonadati; Pseudomonadota; Gammaproteobacteria; Enterobacterales; Enterobacteriaceae
Description: tRNA-Glu
Rfam family: tRNA
About the family: Transfer RNA (tRNA) molecules are approximately 80 nucleotides in length. Their secondary structure includes four short double-helical elements and three loops (D, anti-codon, and T loops).
Source: RNAcentral
GUCCCCUUCGUCUAGAGGUCAGGACACCGCCCUUUCACGGCGGUAACAGGGGUUCGAAUCCCCUAGGGGACGCCA